This 273-nucleotide ribosomal RNA is filed under the name uncultured prokaryote. RNAcentral describes it as "partial 16S ribosomal RNA". It matches the Rfam family "Bacterial small subunit ribosomal RNA", at positions 524 to 796 of the family's 1533-position model. The record is from RNAcentral.
UACGUAGGGGGCGAGCGUUGUCCGGAUUUAUUGGGCGUAAAGAGCUCGUAGGCGGUUUGGCAAGUCGGGUGUGAAAACUCCGGGCUCAACUCGGAGACGCCACUCGAUACUGCCAUGACUCGAGUCCGGUAGGGGAGUGCGGAAUUCCUGGUGUAGCGGUGAAAUGCGCAGAUAUCAGGAGGAACACCGGUGGCGAAGGCGGCACUCUGGGCCGGUACUGACGCUGAGGAGCGAAAGCGUGGGGAGCGAACAGGAUUAGAUACCGAGUAGUCC